UACGUAGGGACCAAGCGUUGUUCGGAUUUACUGGGCGUAAAGGGCGCGUAGGCGGCGAAUCAAGUCAGCUGUGAAAUCUCCGAGCUUAACUCGGAACGGUCAGCUGAUACUGUUUUGCUAGAGUGCAGAAAGGGCAACCGGAAUUCUUGGUGUAGCGGUGAAAUGCGCAGAUAUCAAGAGGAACACCUGAGGCGAAGGCGGGUUGCUAGGCUGACACUGACGCUGAAGCGCGAAAGCUAGGGUAGCAAACGGG
This 253-nucleotide ribosomal RNA is filed under the name uncultured bacterium. RNAcentral's name for it is "partial 16S ribosomal RNA". It matches the Rfam family "Bacterial small subunit ribosomal RNA", at positions 524 to 776 of the family's 1533-position model. The record is from RNAcentral.